UCCGAACCAUCGCUCUGUAAGGACCACAUUGACGACUUUGUUCCACAAAGGACCAACGCUACGAUACUUUUAGGAUGAAGUUUACCCCGGCGAUCUUGAUUGUAGCCCUGGCAGCAGCACUCCUGGCAGCCGUCAUUGCUGCUGAAGAGAUAACAGCAAGUGGAGCAGGUGGAACUGGAAGUGGAUGCCCGGACACCACAGCAUGCACCAAAAGCUGCAAGAAACAGGGCUUCAGCGUUGGAAUAUGCCUUGAGCCACUACUUACCGUCUGUGCGUGCUUGUAAUACUGAGCCGAUCAGAUAAUUGAGUGGCAAUAAAUGUUUACCGCGUUCAUGAU
This 337-nucleotide long non-coding RNA is filed under the name Rhipicephalus microplus (southern cattle tick). Its description in RNAcentral is "uncharacterized LOC119182886". Lineage: Eukaryota; Metazoa; Arthropoda; Arachnida; Ixodida; Ixodidae. The record is from RNAcentral.